Molecule: ribosomal RNA, 848 nt
Filed under: Muyocopron chromolaenicola
Lineage: Eukaryota; Fungi; Ascomycota; Dothideomycetes; Muyocopronales; Muyocopronaceae
Description: partial large subunit ribosomal RNA
Rfam family: Eukaryotic large subunit ribosomal RNA
Source: RNAcentral
GGCGAGUGAAGCGGCAACAGCUCAAAUUUGAAAUCUGGCGUCUUUGGCGUCCGAGUUGUAAUUUGCAGAGGAUGCUUCGGCGUAGGCGCCGCCUAAAGUUCCUUGGAACGGGACGUCGUAGAAGGUGAUAGCCCUGUGACAGGGCGGAUGCCGUCGCCAUGUGAAGCUCCUUCGACGAGUCGAGUUGUUUGGGAAUGCAGCUCAAAACGGGAGGUAAAUUUCUUCUAAAGCUAAAUACCGGCCGGAGACCGAUAGUGCACAAGUAGAGUGAUCGAAAGAUGAAAAGCACUUUGGAAAGAGAGUCAAACAGCGCGUGAAAUUGUUAAAAGGGAAGCGCUUGCGGUCAGAACUUGGCCGCCGUUGCUCGGGGAGGUCUCGUGCCUCCCUCGCUCUUCGGCGGCUGGGCCAGCAUCGGUUCGGGCGGCUCGAUAAAGGCCGCGGGAACGUAGCUCCCUCCGGGGAGUGUUAUAGCCCGCGGCGGAAUGGGGCCCGCCUGGAUCGAGGUCUGCGCAUCUGCUCGGAUGCUGGCGUAAUGGCCUCAAGCGGCCCGUCUUGAAACACGGACCAAGGAGUCUAACAUUCGUGCGAGUGUUCGGGUGUUAAACCCGUGCGCGCAAUGAAAGUGAACGUAGGUGGGAACCCCUCGUGGGCGCACCAUCGACCGAUCCUGAUGUCUUCGGAUGGAUUUGAGUAUGAGCACGUAUGUUGGGACCCGAAAGAUGGUGAACUAUGCGUAAACAGGGCGAAGCCAGAGGAAACUCUGGUGGAGGCUCGCAGCGGUUCUGACGUGCAAAUCGAUCGUCAAAUUCGCGCAUAGGGGCGAAAGACCAAUCGAACCAUCUAGUAGC